Molecule: ribosomal RNA, 1329 nt
Filed under: marine bacterium IIA015
Lineage: Bacteria
Description: bacterial SSU rRNA
Rfam family: Bacterial small subunit ribosomal RNA
Source: RNAcentral
GCAGUCGAGGGGUAACAGGGAGCUUGCUCCGCUGACGACCGGCGCACGGGUGCGCACCGCGUAUGGAACCUACCUUGUACAGGGGAAUAGCCCAGGGAAACUUGGAUUAAUGCCCCGUGGUACCAUGACCCGGCAUCGGGAUAUGGUUAAAGCCUUCGGGCGGUACAAGAUGGCCAUGCGUCCCAUUAGUUUGUUGGUAAGGUAACGGCUUACCAAGACUACGAUGGGUAGGGGCCCUGAGAGGGGGAUCCCCCACACUGGUACUGAGACACGGACCAGACUCCUACGGGAGGCAGCAGUGAGGAAUAUUGGACAAUGGAGGAGACUCUGAUCCAGCCAUGCCGCGUGCAGGAAGAAUGCCCUAUGGGUAGUAAACUGCUUUUAUACGGGAAGAAAAAGAGCUACGUGUAGCUUACUGACGGUACCGUAAGAAUAAGGACCGGCUAACUCCGUGCCAGCAGCCGCGGUAAUACGGAGGGUCCGAGCGUUAUCCGGAAUUAUUGGGUUUAAAGGGUCCGUAGGCGGGCCGAUAAGUCAGGGGUGAAAGUCUGCCGCUCAACGGUAGAACUGCCUUUGAUACUGUCGGUCUUGAGUUAUAGUGAAGUUGCCGGAAUAUGUAGUGUAGCGGUGAAAUGCAUAGAUAUUACAUAGAACACCGAUUGCGAAGGCAGGUGACUAACUAUAUACUGACGCUGAUGGACGAAAAGCGUGGGGAGCGAACAGGAUUAGAUACCCUGGUAGUCCACGCCGUAAACGAUGGAUACUAGCUGUCCGGAACCUUGAGUUCUGGGCGGCCAAGCGAAAGUGAUAAGUAUCCCACCUGGGGAGUACGUUCGCAAGAAUGAAACUCAAAGGAAUUGACGGGGGCCCGCACAAGCGGUGGAGCAUGUGGUUUAAUUCGAUGAUACGCGAGGAACCUUACCAGGGCUUAAAUGCAUAUUGACAGGUCUAGAGAUAGAUUUUCCUUCGGGCAAUUUGCAAGGUGCUGCAUGGUUGUCGUCAGCUCGUGCCGUGAGGUGUCAGGUUAAGUCCUAUAACGAGCGCAACCCCUACCGUUAGUUGCCAGCAUGUCAUGAUGGGGACUCUAACGGGACUGCCGGUGCAAACCGUGAGGAAGGUGGGGAUGACGUCAAAUCAUCACGGCCCUUACGUCCUGGGCCACACACGUGCUACAAUGGCAGGUACAGAGAGCAGCCAUGUCGCAAGGCAGAGCGAAUCUAUAAAACCUGUCACAGUUCGGAUCGGGGUCUGCAACUCGACCCCGUGAAGCUGGAAUCGCUAGUAAUCGGAUAUCAGCCAUGAUCCGGUGAAUACGUUCCCGGGCCUUGU